This 468-nucleotide ribosomal RNA is filed under the name uncultured bacterium. RNAcentral's name for it is "partial 16S ribosomal RNA". It matches the Rfam family "Bacterial small subunit ribosomal RNA", at positions 28 to 507 of the family's 1533-position model. The record is from RNAcentral.
GACGAACGCUGGCGGCGUGCUUAACACAUGCAAGUCGAACGGAAAGGCCCUGCUUUUGUGGGGUGUUCGAGUGGCGAACGGGUGAGUAACACGUGAGUAACCUGCCCUUGCCUUUGGGAUAACUUCUGGAAACUGGGGCUACUACCGGAUAGGAGCCCCUCUUGACUGGUGGGGGUUGGAAAGCUUCGGCGGUUGGGGAUGGACUCGCGGCUUAUCAGCUUGUUGGUGGGGUAGUGGCUUACCAAGGCUUUGACGGGUAGCCGGCCUGAGAGGGUGACCGGCCACAUUGGGACUGAGAUACGGCCCAGACUCCUACGGGAGGCAGCAGUGGGGAAUAUUGCACAAUGGGCGGAAGCCUGAUGCAGCAACGCCGCGUGCGGGAUGACGGCCUUCGGGUUGUAAACCGCUUUCGCCUGUGACGAAGCGUGAGUGACGGUAAUGGGUAAAGAAGCACCGGCUAACUACGUG